UACAGAGGGUGCAAGCGUUGUUCGGAAUUACUGGGCGUAAAGCGCGUGUAGGUGGCGAUGUAAGUCGGGUGUGAAAUCCCUUGGCUCAACCAAGGAAGUGCAUUCGAUACUGUGUCGCUUGAGUACUGGAGGGGAUGGCGGAAUUCCCGGUGUAGAGGUGAAAUUCGUAGAUAUCGGGAGGAACACCUGUGGCGAAGGCGGCCAUCUGGACAGUCACUGACACUGAGACGCGAAAGCGUGGGGAGCGAACAGG
Molecule: ribosomal RNA, 253 nt
Filed under: uncultured bacterium
Lineage: Bacteria
Description: partial 16S ribosomal RNA
Rfam family: Bacterial small subunit ribosomal RNA
Source: RNAcentral